CCUACGGGUGGCUGCAGUGAGGAAUAUUGGUCAAUGGGCGCGAGCCUGAACCAGCCAAGUAGCGUGAAGGAUGACUGCCCUACGGGUUGUAAACUUCUUUUAUAAAGGAAUAAAGUGAGGCACGUGUGCCUUUUUGUAUGUACUUUAUGAAUAAGGAUCGGCUAACUCCGUGCCAGCAGCCGCGGUAAUACGGAGGAUCCGAGCGUUAUCCGGAUUUAUUGGGUUUAAAGGGAGCGUAGAUGGGUUGUUAAGUCAGUUGUGAAAGUUUGCGGCUCAACCGUAAAAUUGCAAUUGAUACUGGCAGUCUUGAGUACAGUUGAGGUAGGCGGAAUUCGUGGUGUAGCGGUGAAAUGCGUAGAUAUUAGGAGGAACAUCAGUGGCGAAGGCGGCCACCUGGACCGGUAUUGACGCUGAGGCGCGAAAGCGUGGGGAGCAAACAGGAUUAGAUACCCGGGUAGUC
This 460-nucleotide ribosomal RNA is filed under the name uncultured bacterium. RNAcentral's name for it is "partial 16S ribosomal RNA". It matches the Rfam family "Bacterial small subunit ribosomal RNA", at positions 338 to 795 of the family's 1533-position model. The record is from RNAcentral.